RNAcentral lists this long non-coding RNA (3658 nucleotides) under Podarcis lilfordi (Lilford's wall lizard). The record is from RNAcentral. Lineage: Eukaryota; Metazoa; Chordata; Lepidosauria; Squamata; Lacertidae.
ACUGCUUUAGCUACCUUAGCGCUGAAGGCAAAUCAUUUGUAUAAAUCAUUUCAACUCUGGUCAUCUGUGCUUUGUGUCAGCUACUGCGUACCCUUCUCUAGACAGGCCUUUGGAAUAGCGACUCUCUCUAAUUCCAUGCUCUGCAAAGUGGUUGUGCUGUCUAGGAAUUACAACCUCGGCAUCAUUUUAGCCAGAACCACCAGCGCUUCCGCGGGGUUUCAAUUUGCUACUUGUCUCUAGAGACUUUGCUUCCUGGAGAUCAUUGGAGGCAUAUAGUUCCAUAGUGUCAGGACUGUAAUGAUAAUAUUGGCACAUGUGGGAAGAAAGGGCUUAGAAGAUGUUUAAAGGAGAAGGCAUACACCAACUUAUAUGUGGAACAUAGGAAGGCGCCUUAUCUAAAGUCAGAUCUUUGUUCCAUCUGACUGGAAGCAACUCUCCAGCAUUUCAGGCAGGAGUCUUUUUUGAGCUGUACCUGAAAAAGUCCGGGAUUUACAUGUGCUCUGUCACUGAGCUGCAGCCACCCCCCAGGUCCAUAUACAGGGCCAGCCCACCCAUGAGGCAUUGUGAAGGGAUUAAUUCACAUUGCUUGUUUGCUUCACCAUUCCAUAUAGCAAAGAUGCAUUUAGACAAGUCAAGUGACCAAGGUUAUAACAUUCCUAGUCAAAUGACAUUCUGGUGUUUGCUAUGUGACCCCUUUGUUCGAUAGCCUUUCUGUUUGCUUCCUUCUUCUGUUCCCUUCAGUUUGUAGAUUGUGGACCUUUGGUAGGAUAGCAUCUGUGUAAAUUGCCCUAGUGCUAUCAGUGUUGCUGUGAGGCUUAAGUGUAGCACAGCACUGCCACUUUGGUUUACAAAUUUAAUAAAUAAUAAUAAUGUUCCUGAUGCUCCUAUUCAAGGUAUUGACCACAAUCCUGUAAAUAAGGCCACACAUCCACAUUCUAUGACAUUGUUCUGGGUGGAAACAUUUCAUUGCAUGCGCUAUUGGUUAGCGAAGUGAAAGCUGCUUACUGAAAACUUUUGACACUCGCAAGCAUUUUGCAAAGGAAGCUGUGAGGAGACCGAUUGUCACAGAUCUAACAUCUGCUUGUAACAUUCCACCUUUGCUUUCAGAACAGUUUAAUCUUAGACUCUCCUGUGUAGAUACUAACAAUCCAGAGAGCAAACCAUUUUUCAUGGAGAAACAGCUGCGAAUGCAGAAGCAUCAGCUAAUAGUGGCCUGAACUUUGUUUGUUAAUUUCUAUUGUACACAGAGGAGAAACUGCUUUACAGGUCUUUGUAAGCUACGCCUAUUUUACUGGACAUACAUUUGGCCUUUCAAAUUGUACCCCAUAACAUUCUUUUUGCAUUGCACUCAAGAACAAGCAACUACCAUCAAUAAUGGGAGUGAAAUUCAAUAAGUUCAGAACCCAGUUACUUAUUUUGUCUGUAUCUUCACUGUUUUCCAAAGUUGGCCAAACCCCACUUCCUCCCAUCCCACUUUGAACUCUCAUACUUUCACUUUCUGUGGAUGCUUCCUAAACUUUCCAGCGUUUGUUCAAGAUGUCAUCCUUGAUCAUUAAAUCAUUUGGAUGUUUUAAAACUAAUGUAUUUAUUACAUUUCUCUUUUCUAUCUAAGAGGAGAAAUACAUGGGCUUUGCAAGUCUGUGAGGCACAUUAGACUGAGAGACAGUGACUUCUCUAAUGCAAACUAUUAACCAGUAAGGAUGACUUGAGAUUUGAACAUGACUUUUUUACAUUCAUACCCUAUAUUCCAAUGCCUCAAAAUAGUUUUCUGAAGCUGGAUUCAAUAGCCAAUUUUGCUACUCUUGUUUUUAUUUCAAUUUACACACUACUGUGACUGAACAAUAGUGAAUACUAGUUUAUACUUCUCUGAACAUGAACAUGAACAUGAAAAGAUUCCUUGGGAGACUGUUGGUCCUUACUGAUUAUAUUUUUUAAACCACAAAAAGUUUCUUAAAGUCACACAUUCAGAGGCAAUUCACAAAGCCAUGGGAAGCCACAUAAAAUGGAGAGCAGUCUGUUCCUUUCAAUGGAAAUUAGCUCAUCAUGGCCAACAUGUCAUCAGCUGACAGCCAAAGCCCUGCUGGGAAGCAGAAGCCCUUUGGAUUGCCUCAGUAACUGCUAAGGUCUUCUGAAUGAUGAUUGUUGUGCUUCAAUAUAACCUCACAAUUAGCUGUAGUGCUAAGCUUUCACACAACACACUUGGGAAGCAGGCUAAUUGACCUGCUGAAGGAAGGGAGUUACCCUCAUCCUUGGGGGUGGGGUACUAGGCUCCAGACCGAAUAUGCAGUCUCAGCCACCUGUGGGGAACCUUGAGGGUGGUGGAGAUCAUGGCCACCUGUGGGCUGCUCUGCUGUAUAAAAAGCAUUUGUUCCGGUGCCUGGAACAAGCCAUCUCCUUGUUGUGGAGUCUGUCCCACAGACUGCUGGAAGCAGGGGCAAGGAGGGAGCCUUCAGACCUUGUGUUGUGAGUUUGCUUUUCCUUUAAAUAAACUACUAAGACCUGAUCAGCCUGUUAGUGUGGGAAGCCUGAGUAUCCAGACCCCUGUGAGCCCUCCCCUGGCUCUCCGGAUACAACACCUCCCCUUUCUGCAAUGAAUUUGUGCCUACUUCUUAGGUAACAUUGUUGAUCCCCUGGUGCUUGCUAUUUUUAAGUACUCAAAUAUUGAAAGGUCAGCUUUGUCUUGUACCAUUUGAUUGGAUGAUUUGGUGUCAUAUAUUGAAGUGGAUAAUGUUUUGAGGGCAUGAGCAUGACCAUGCCAUGUGUCUGUUCAAACUGUAGAGUAGAGGUUGUAUCCUUUGCUGGUUUGAUAUCUCAGCAUUAAACUAUUAGUAGCAGUGCCUCAUUUAGAAAAUACAGAAUUCUAAGAAAGCAAAUAGUCCGGGCUUUUUGCAUACAUAGCAUACAUUUAAAGCACAUCGCCCCAGUUCCCAGGCUUCUUGGGGUGGGUGGGUGUGCUAUAAACGUAUGCAAGUAGAGGCCAGUGGGGUGUGGGCAGGGCUGUGUCACUACCCUGGCUUCCCAGUGCCAUGCGCCACUGCUGGCUACCAAAAGGGCAAGAGCAAGGAGGUGGUGAAUCACAGGUGGGAGCAUUGGAUUGGCUCUGCCAGUGUGCCAUGCUGAAGUCCCCGCUGCUUCCCUCUCAGUAACUGGCAGCAGUGCCCAGCAUUGGGUGCAGGGAUACAGCCACACCGGCUGCUACUGUGUGUACACAGCCCAAGAACAAAAUCACACCCAAGUGUGGUGCUAUAAGCACAAGGGGUUAAGUGGGUAUUGCUGUGAGCAGAUCUGCCACCCAACAAGCCAUGAGUUUCCAAUCUGUUUUGAGGGAGGGGAGGUUUUUGAGUAAGUGGGAACCCCCCCCCCCAAUAUUAGCCAUAUCUGAGUACAGUACACAGCUCUGGACACAUUAUUUUUAAAUCUGAGCACUCUACUGGCACUGCGUUCAUAACUUUUAUCUAUGACCACACCAUGGAGAUCAUUAAGGAGAAUUGCUCCAUGUUGGCCUGGAUAGAUUGUUCUGCAGCUUUCAAAUAUCUGGAGUGUUUGGCGAUUUCACAGUCGCUUCUAAGCAAACUCUGGAGUAACUUUGCUCAACCAGGAAGGUUUCAAAUGGUAUAGAUUUUUUAAUUUUAAUUUUCAUUGAGUUUUAUGCAUAACC